UUUUGAAUACGAUAAGCCGCGCCGUUUGUUUUUAAUACUUGGUAUCGUUCUGCAAGGUACUCGAUAGUAUAUCGAUAUCGGCCAGGGCUGUCAGCGCUUUUCGAGCAGGCUGCGGGUUAUAUUUUUGAAUUGAAAAAAACCGUUUUUCAUGGAAUUUUAUACCCCAAUCUUUGAUUGUUGUUGGAUUUUGUAAUACAGGAAUCGGAUACUUUUUUCUUUUACAGUUUUCAAAAGAAAUCACUUAUCAGUUGUUUUGAUAAGCUUAUAUACGACACUAUUGUUUUCAAUUGCCGUACAUCUGGUACAAUGUGAUUGUUUGAUAAAUGGAUACCAUUAUCUGGAGACGUAUGUACAUAUAUACGCCACUUGGCAUUCUGGCAUUGAAACAGACAUAAUAAAUACAUAUAGAUACAUAUGUCUGAUUGGAUGACUUCCAAGUAAAUCGAUCUGAACAACAGACACGACAAGGAAGAGGAUAAGGCUAACACAGAAAUUCAUUUCAAGCAUCGCUGGAGUCUCAUAAAUUUCGCGCUAUAAAUGUCUGCAAAUAAAGAAUCUACUAUAU
Molecule: long non-coding RNA, 565 nt
Organism: Drosophila pseudoobscura
Lineage: Eukaryota; Metazoa; Arthropoda; Insecta; Diptera; Drosophilidae
Exons: 2
Source: RefSeq, a predicted model, not a curated record